RNAcentral lists this ribosomal RNA (253 nucleotides) under uncultured bacterium. RNAcentral describes it as "partial 16S ribosomal RNA". It matches the Rfam family "Bacterial small subunit ribosomal RNA", at positions 524 to 776 of the family's 1533-position model. The record is from RNAcentral.
UACGGGGGGUGCAAGCGUUAAUCGGAAUCACUGGGCGUAAAGGGUGCGUAGGCGGUGCAUUAGGUCUGUCGUGAAAUCCCCGGGCUCAACCUGGGAAUGGCGGUGGAAACCGGUGUACUAGAGUAUGGGAGAGGGUGGUGGAAUUCCAGGUGUAGCGGUGAAAUGCGUAGAGACCUGGAGGAACAUCAGUGGCGAAGGCUGCCAUCUGGCCCAAUACUGACGCUGAGGCACGAAAGCGUGGGGAGCAAACAGG